CAGAGAACAGCGAUGAGACAGGAGUGAUGGAUAGUUUGCUGGAGGCUUUGCAGUCUGGAGCAGCGUUCAGAGACCGACGGAAGAGAGCACCCCGGCCCCGAGAUGGUCAGAUGAGCCUCAGUCCCAGUUCGUACCUCCAGGUUCUGAAGCCCUGUAACCAUG
Molecule: long non-coding RNA, 162 nt
Organism: Oncorhynchus gorbuscha (pink salmon)
Lineage: Eukaryota; Metazoa; Chordata; Actinopteri; Salmoniformes; Salmonidae
Exons: 2
Source: RefSeq, a predicted model, not a curated record